AGAUCAAUUAGCAUGCAAUCAAUGAAAACAGAUUAUCAGAAGAAAUUUCACACAAGAAUGAAUAAAUAAUAAUACUCAAUCAAUUACUUGUAACAAGGAUUCACCUCCCUUUAGAACUGAAUAAAAAGAACUAGCCUGACAUGCUUUUGAGUCUGCACUCCAAUAGAUGAUAGUUGAUAAUUGAAUGAAUAAAACCCUGACUCUCACCCUCUAUUUAUAGUGCUAGACAAAG
RNAcentral lists this long non-coding RNA (232 nucleotides) under Panax ginseng (ginseng). RNAcentral describes it as "long non-coding RNA (PGIN_LNC012212)". The record is from RNAcentral. Lineage: Eukaryota; Viridiplantae; Streptophyta; Magnoliopsida; Apiales; Araliaceae.